GACGUAGGGCGCGAGCGUUGUCCGGAUUUAUUGGGCGUAAAGAGCUCGUAGGCGGCUUGUUGCGUCGACUGUGAAAACCCGCGGCUUAACUGCGGGCUUGCAGUUGAUACGGGCAGGCUAGAGUUCGGUAGGGGAGACUGGAAUUCCUGGUGUAGCGGUGAAAUGCGCAGAUAUCAGGAGGAACACCGGUGGCGAAGGCGGUGCGCUGGGCCGAAACUGACGCUGAUGAGCGAAAGCGUGGGUAGCAAACAGG
This 253-nucleotide ribosomal RNA is filed under the name uncultured bacterium. RNAcentral's name for it is "partial 16S ribosomal RNA". It matches the Rfam family "Bacterial small subunit ribosomal RNA", at positions 524 to 776 of the family's 1533-position model. The record is from RNAcentral.